CGAGGCCGCAGCAUGAGGGGAAUGGCGCCAUCGUCAGGAGAAGCAUUGGGAGAUAUGAGCUGAAAUAUUUCGAUCCAUUUCUUGUUCUGGAUGAGUUCUCAGUUGCCACUCCUGCUGGAUUUCCUGAUCAUCCACAUAGAGGUUUUGAGACAGUAACAUACAUGCUUGAGGGAGCUAUAAACAUGAAGACUUUGAAGGUCAUGUGGGCA
This is a long non-coding RNA of Dendrobium catenatum, 209 nucleotides long. RefSeq lists it as uncharacterized. NCBI's taxonomy places the organism in Eukaryota, Viridiplantae, Streptophyta, Magnoliopsida, Asparagales, Orchidaceae. The transcript has 5 exons. The record is from RefSeq and is a predicted model, not a curated record.